RNAcentral lists this long non-coding RNA (1147 nucleotides) under Jatropha curcas. RNAcentral describes it as "long non-coding RNA (JCUR_LNC001305)". Lineage: Eukaryota; Viridiplantae; Streptophyta; Magnoliopsida; Malpighiales; Euphorbiaceae. The record is from RNAcentral.
GCCUAGGAUGUGCUAAGGUUACCUGCACUAAUGGAGGAACCUUCAUUGGAUGCAAUUAUGAUCCUCCUGGUAAUUAUAUUGGGAAACGACCUUAUUAAUCAUAAUGUCGUUUAGAUUUACCCAAGGAUAAAAUAUGUCCUGGUUCAUAUCCAAGACUAUAAGAAUAUGAUUUAUGUCUUCCGGUUUCAGCCUAGAUUAAGUUGACCAAGAAAAAAUGGAAUAAAAUAGAAUAUGAUAUAUGUCUUCCUGAUUUCCAGCAUGGAGAUUUGCUUUUGGUUAUUUGUAAAGGGGCAAGAUUUUAAGCCAAAAAUAGAAUAAAAUAAAAUAUUAGGAGUUUGUCCUCAUUUCCUGUGUUUCACUAUCAAUUUACUCUCGUGAUUGCUGAUUACAAUAACUUAAGCCAUCAUAUACUAUCUUCUAGACAUCAUCUUUCUACAAAGACAAACACUACAAAAAAUUCGGCAAUUUGCGACCGAUUUGUCGGUGGCAAACUGCAAGAAAUCGGUCGUUAAACACCAUUAGCGACCGAUAACCAUCUAUCGCAAAAGUGCUCGCCGCUAGAUAAAUGAAAUUUAGAUUUCUCAAGCUCUAAUGACAGGCUAAACCAGUACACAACUAUACGCAUUAAAAGUGGAUAAUAUUAGCAUCGAAUUGCUGAUUUCAUUAGCAUAGAAACCGUUUAAACUUGAAUCUACUGUAUCCUUACCUCAUCUGCGAUCAUCGCAAUGAGUGCAGAGUUACUAGUCCGGAUUUGAGGUUUGUUAGCCAUUUCUUGAAUGAUCCAAUCGCAACAGAGUUAUUUCUUUAAUUGCGACAUGAAAUCGAAACCGAAACCGAAAUCGAAACCGAAAUGGAAAUGAAGAACAUAAGGAGGAGCGCACCAUAUCAAAAAAUCAAAAUCAACAUCUAAGAUGAGAAAAUAACCAAAUUAGAAAAUCGAUAUGAGAAAAGGUACCUUCAGUAGUUCGGUGCAAGCUAAUCUGACUUGAGAUCUCAGACCUUAUCUUUUUUACAGUUAUGGAAGACGCAGUGAGAGAGGGAGAGAGAGAGAGAGAGAGAAAUCAAUCGCGUGUCGAGGAACGGGAGAGGGAUAAGUUUCGUACUAUGGCACAUUUGUAAUUAUUUCUAUGUAUUACAGUAAAUUCAC